CACACGGAGAGUUUGAUCCUGGCUCAGGAUUAACGUUGGCAGCGUGCCUAACACAUGCAAGUCGAACGAUAUAGUGGCAGACGAGAGAGUAUAAGCAAGGAACUUACCCCCGAGUGAAGGAUAGCCAGCCGAAAGGCUGGGUAAUCCUGCAUAAUCUCGAAAGAGCAAAGCCCAGCACCACUUUGAACAUGAGCAAAAUCAUAUUUGAUUUAAUGAUCAUUCACGUUUAAAGUGGUGCUGGGCGCUUGGGGAGAGGCCUUGCCCCUAUCAGCUAGUUGGUGAGGUAAUGGCUCACCAAGGCGAUGACGGGUAGCUGGUCUGAGAGGAUGAUCAGCCUCGAUGGGACUGAGACACGGCCCAUACUCCUACGGGAGGCAGCAGUUGGGAAUUUUGCACAAUGGAGGCAACUCUGAUGCAGCAACGCUGCGUGAAGGAUGAAGGUUUUCGGAUUGUAAACUUCUUUUAUCUGGGAAUAAUCUUGAAGGUACCAGAUGAAUAAGCACCGGCUAACUACGUGCCAGCAGCCGCGGUAAUACGUAGGGUGCAAACGUUAUCCGGAUUUAUUGGGCGUAAAGAGUUCGUAGGUGGUUUUGAAAGUUGGAUAUUAAAUCUCCCGACUCAAUCGGGAAAAAGUAUCCAAAACUUCAUGACUUGAGGUAUGCAGGGGAGAAUGGAACAUACGGUGUAGCGGUGGAAUGCGUAGAUAUCGUAUGGAACACCAAUGGUGAAGACAGUUCUCUGGGCAUUACCUGACACUGAGGAACGAAAGCGUGGGUAGCGAUCGGGAUUAGAUACCCCGGUAGUCCACGCCGUAAACGAUGCAUACUAGGAAUGCGGAGUAUCGACCCUCUGCGUUUCGAAGCUAACGCGUUAAGUAUGCCGCCUGGGUAGUACGGCCGCAAGGCUAAAACUCAAAGGAAUUGACGGGGACCCGCACAAGCGGUGGAACAUGUGGUUUAAUUCGAUGACAAGCGAAGAACCUUACCAGGGCUUGACAUCUCGCGAAUCCGCUAGAGAUAGCGGAGUGCCUUUUGGAACGCGAUGACAGGUGUUGCACGGUCGUCGUCAGCUCGUGCUGUGAAGUGUCCCGUUAAGUCGGUAAACGAGCGCAACCCCUAUUGUAUGUUGUAUUUUUCAUACGAGACUGCCGGCGUUAAGUCGGAGGAAGGCGGGGAUGACGUCAGAUCAGCGUGACUCUUACGUCCUGGGCGACACACAUGUUACAAUGGGUAGUAACAAAGGGUUGCUAAACUGUAAAGUGGAGCUAAUCCCAUCAAACCUACCCCCAGUUCGGAUUGAGGGCUGCAACUCGCCCUCAUGAAGUCGGAAUCGCUAGUAAUCGUGGGUCAGCCAUACCACGGUGAAUACGUUCUCGGGUCUUGUACACUGGCGCCUUGCCGCUAGUUUUUCCAGAUGGUUAAAAUCCAUCUUGUGGUAUACAGAGCUACAAAAGCAAAAUCGCAGCUUGUUUUCGCGAGGAACCAAGUGAAGGGCGAAAUUAGCAU
Candidatus Berkelbacteria bacterium is the source of this 1505-nucleotide non-coding RNA. Lineage: Bacteria; Candidatus Berkelbacteria. The record is from Rfam.